CCCAAUGUGGGGAUUAGCCAUCAUGCUGGGAACACUGGCUCCCUGCGUACCACCAGGCUUUGUGCCAAUGUUCUGAGGGUGGGCAAAGCAGGAGCUCCCUGAGGAGGUGUGAGCAGAUGAAGACAGUCCAGCAGGGGGAUGGCAGACCGCCUGGAUCAGCUGCACACUCACAGCUCCCUGCACGGGUGAGGGGUCGCUGAAUAUGUUGGAGCGAGGCGUGGGGGAUCUUAGCUCUGCGACCAGGGAUCGAACCUGCACCACCCUCAUUGAAAGGCGAAGUCCCAACCACUGGACCACCAGGGAAAUCCCCUUGUCUGUCUUCUUGACUGGCCUAAGAAGGCCUCCUGGCUGCAAACAUCCUGCCGAGGAAGGGCUGCCAUCAUCUUUCUAGUUCUCAUCGAGGGAAGAAACGGCCUGCACAUAGAUCUGUGGACCAAUUCGAUGCACAGGUCCGGCUUCCUGAAAAGGCCGACCCCCCCCAGGGUGGGCUGCUCUCCUCGGCCAUCUUCCGGCCCCUCAGAAACCAGCAGGGGCAUAGGGCAGCCAGAGAAGCGCUGAGAGCAUGGCUCACGCAGGCAGGCGGGGCCAGUAUCAGACUGUGUCAGUUCCCUUAAUUUAAGUCAACUUGUCUUAACUACUUACACAUGAACAGAUUCUUUUAAUUGUUCCUUAUUUUUUAAAUUAGAAAAAUAGGACCUGCUGAUGCCAGAAAAAUAAUUCUAAAAAUAAAAAACAGUAUAAAAGUGAAAGUCCCUCCUCAUUCACUAACCUCCACCCCAAAUCCUGAAAGCCCACCUCCAGAAGUAACCAUUGCUGCAGACAUACACUCAAGUGAUUUUGCUGAACUUGGC
Lagenorhynchus albirostris (white-beaked dolphin) is the source of this 851-nucleotide long non-coding RNA. RefSeq lists it as uncharacterized. The transcript has 3 exons. The record is from RefSeq and is a predicted model, not a curated record. NCBI's taxonomy places the organism in Eukaryota, Metazoa, Chordata, Mammalia, Artiodactyla, Delphinidae.